Molecule: long non-coding RNA, 2717 nt
Filed under: Mytilus galloprovincialis (Mediterranean mussel)
Lineage: Eukaryota; Metazoa; Mollusca; Bivalvia; Mytilida; Mytilidae
Source: RNAcentral
GAGCAUCUGGUUUGUUUUUAUUCCGAAGUACCAAUAUGCUGUUUCAUAAUUAUAUUUUAAAGAAGUCAAUGUUUGUAUGACUGUUGCAUUGGAGGCCAGUUAAAUAAGUUUAAACAAUCAUUAUAGUAUUUAUUUUAGAUUUACUAAUAUAUAUUGAGUUCAAGAAUAUAUAUAACUCUAGUCUAGUCACUUUUAUAUACAUGUACAAAUGUAUAAAGAUUUAUAUUCACUGCCUGUACAUUUACAAAGUGUAAAAUGUAUUAAGUAGGAUUAAUAGGCAGUAUAAAUAUUUUUUACUGUUCCAAGGCGUGUAACACAAUUUUGUACUUUACUUAUAAUUUCUACUAUAAUAAGCAGCAGAAGUGUGUUUUAGGACAUAAUGUUUUGUUAAGUUUCAGUCAGAUUUGUUUUGUUGUGGGGUUUAAAACAAUAUUUAAAAAUGAUUUAAGUUGGUCUUUUACUAUGUUGUUAUACGAAAUUUGUUUGGUAAUAUUUUUAAUUGUUGAUAUAUUUUCGUGGCACAAGCAUUUAAUCUCUCAUGAAGAUGAAAUUAUACUGCUAUACUGAAGAAAGCCUGCAGAAGGGGAGAUGAUUCUAAUAAAAAAUAAGUGACAUCCUGGCAUGAAUAGAAUUGGUAUAAAAAGGGCUCACUAAGUUAACUGGUUUAUUUGGUUUAACAAUGUAAGAUGAUACAGAGACUUCAGUGAUAGUUCAUCAACUGCACACUUGCCUUACCUAUUAAGGGACUAGACAAGUUGGCUAUAUCCUUGUUGUCAGCAUGGUCAGUGGACUCAUUAAGCUUUGGUCAGUCUUUUGAGAUGGAGUUUGUACAUAUAAUAUCCAGUUUUUACCCUACUUAAAAUGAGUUCUUAAAUUUGGCCCAUGUCAACUUUGGGUCUAUCAUUGUCUUGCAUCUGUUACCAUAACAUUUUCAUACUUUCAUCUUGUCUCAAGUAGGUGGCUUGAUGAUCAGUUUAGAAAACUUCUGUUUAUCAACCUGUCAUAUUAAGUUUUUAUAACCUAGUUGUUAUAUGAUACAAUACAGAUGAAGGUAAUUUAUCCCCCUAACAUAUAUAGAAUGUUAUAUGUUCUGCGAUGAUCUUGUCCGUCCAUCUGUAACUUUCAUUUAAUAUUACUCAGCUUCUGAAGGAAGGAUUUUAUAUUUGGUUUCAACUUUAAGAUGUUUUAAUAGUGGAAGCCAUUUACAGAUUUCACAAACAGUCACUUCAUGUUGGGGAUACUUUAAAAUUGAUUAUACCUAAUGAGCAUAGACUUUUUCAUCAAUAUACAAUAAAAAGAAAGCAAGUGGGGAAAUGUUUUGCAUGACAUCAUAUGUAACUUUUGUUUACAUUUCAAAUUUCAAAUUGGUUGUUCAAUAGACCUUCACACAUGUCCAAUAAAUAUUAAAGAAAUAUAGGUGGUAACGAAAAGGAAUGAUUUCCCUUCUGUUGGAGAUUUCUUGUUCAUGUUGUUGUUUAUGUGCCAAAAUGAGCCCCAAAAAAGAUUAUAAACAUAGGCAGCUAAAUAAAUGAAUGUUGACUUUUGUUCAACUUAAAAACAAUUUUAUUUCAUAAUAAAACCUAAUUCACAUACAUGAUAUUUUUACUUAUUGAAGGCUAGUAGCUUUUACCUUGCAUGUCAAAUAACAAAAAGUUAUGAAUUUGCAUUGAUAAUUUUCCUCCUUUAUGAGGGAAUAAUGAGUGUACAAAUGAGUAGAUAUACAGUGACAUAGUCUUUCAGUUUUUGAUUUGUUAAUGUCAAAACCAAGCCAUUUUAAUAACAGUUUUACUAACUGUCAUAUGAUAGAAAUUGGGAGUGCAUUCCAGAGUUAUCUUAUCAAUAUAUCAAUUGUACAUAUCUUUUAUGUUAAAAGGACUGAGACUUCAUAUAUACAGUACUUAAUGUAUACAGUAUGAAUGUUCUUUAUUUAAUGAAUCAUUGAUUUUGAAUUUAUAUAGAUAAUGAUUUACAUUAUGUUAAAGGGGCACUAGCUGUCAAAUUCAUGGUCACCGAUUUGACUCAAAUUCUGUUAUUUGAUUUAUAACAAUGUAAAACAUUUAUCCAAACUAUCAAAAGUCUAAAAUAAACAGUUUACAGAGCAUGGGGUAGAUAAUAUAUAGGUUCGUUUCGUGUGUAUUUUAGUCCAGACGCCAUCAAAUUUACUAUUGAUUUGACCUCAGAUGACCAUAUAAGCGAUGUAAACAUAAAUAAAGAUAUGAAUAGAUUAAACCAACACGUGCAAUUGGAUCUUUAUCGGUCUGGUUGAUUUUAUUUUAUAGAUUAUAAAUAGAUGUUUCUCAUUGCUUUUAACCAUAUAAGAAUGAUUUUAUAUGCAUCGAAUUAGUAAUCAAAUGAUUUACCGUAGUUUCACUUUCAUUGUUGACAUUCUUUUUCUUUAAAUAACCAGUACACAUACAAUGCAUGCGUUGUCAAUCUCUUGCUAGGGGUUAAAUUGAAGUUCACAUGAAUACGGAUUUAAAGAGGUCGACUCAUUCACUUGCAAGUGAAUUACUAAUUAUCAAUGUUUCUUAGCGUAAUUUGACAAAAUUGAACCUUUUUGGCUGCAAAAAGCGAAUUGUUAUUUCACUAUUUCACUUUCAUUAUUGAUUGAACAGAAAAAAAAUCAAACUUUAGAUUUGUUAUAUAUCGCGUAGCUAGUGCCUCUUUAAAGCAUUAAAGAAAUGCGUUUCAUGAAUGUUCCUAUGAUUUGAAUAAUU